AAACAGGUCUUUUUAAAGAUCAUUUAUUUUAUUUGAAAAGCAUAGU
Non-coding RNA from Oryctolagus cuniculus (rabbit), 46 nucleotides. Lineage: Eukaryota; Metazoa; Chordata; Mammalia; Lagomorpha; Leporidae. The record is from Rfam.